Molecule: ribosomal RNA, 473 nt
Filed under: uncultured organism
Description: partial 16S ribosomal RNA
Rfam family: Bacterial small subunit ribosomal RNA
Source: RNAcentral
ACACUCCUGCGGGAGGCAGCAGUGGGGAAUUUUGGACAAUGGGCGAAAGCCUGAUCCAGCCAUGCCGCGUGCAGGAUGAAGGCAUUCGGGUUGUAAACUGCUUUUGUACGGAACGAAACGGCCUUUUCUAAUAAAGAGGGCUAAUGACGGUACCGUAAGAAUAAGCACCGGCUAACUACGUGCCAGCAGCCGCGGUAAUACGUAGGGUGCAAGCGUUAAUCGGAAUUACUGGGCGUAAAGCGUGCGCAGGCGGUUAUGUAAGACAGUUGUGAAAUCCCCGGGCUAAACCUGGGAACUGCAUCGGUGACUGCAUAGCUAGAGUACGGUAGAGGGGGAUGGAAUUCCGCGUGUAGCAGUGAAAUGCGUAGAUAUGCGGAGGAACACCGAUGGCGAAGGCAAUCCCCUGGACCUUUACUGACGCUCAUGCACGAAAGCGUGGGGAGCAAACAGGAUUAGAAACCCGGGUAGUCCCA